This 450-nucleotide ribosomal RNA is filed under the name uncultured bacterium. RNAcentral describes it as "bacterial SSU rRNA". It matches the Rfam family "Bacterial small subunit ribosomal RNA", at positions 329 to 793 of the family's 1533-position model. The record is from RNAcentral.
UGCCAGACUCCUACGGGAGGCAGCAGUGGGGAAUAUUGCACAAUGGGCGAAAGCCUGAUGCAGCAACGCCGCGUGAAGGAAGAAGGGUUUCGGCUCGUAAACUUCUAUCAACAGGGACGAAAGAAAUGACGGUACCUGAAUAAGAAGCCCCGGCUAACUACGUGCCAGCAGCCGCGGUAAUACGUAGGGGGCGAGCGUUAUCCGGAUUUACUGGGUGUAAAGGGAGCGUAGACGGCUGGUCAAGUCUGAAGUGAAAGCCCGGGGCUUAACCCCGGAACGGCUUUGGAAACUGAGCAGCUAGAGUGCUGGAGAGGUAAGCGGAAUUCCUAGUGUAGCGGUGAAAUGCGUAGAUAUUAGGAGGAACACCAGUGGCGAAGGCGGCUUACUGGACAGUAACUGACGUUGAGGCUCGAAAGCGUGGGGAGCAAACAGGAUUAGAUACCCGCGUAA